GAUGAACGCUGGCGGCGUGCCUAAUACAUGCAAGUCGAGCGAACGGACGAGAAGCUUGCUCCUCUGACGUUAGCGGCGGACGGGUGAGUAACACGUGGAUAACCUACCUAUAAGACUGGGAUAACUUCGGGAAACCGGAGCUAAUACCGGAUAAUAUUUUGAACCGCAUGGUUCAAUAGUGAAAGACGGUUUUGCUGUCACUUAUAGAUGGAUCCGCGCUGCAUUAGCUAGUUGGUAAGGUAACGGCUUACCAAGGCAACGAUGCAUAGCCGACCUGAGAGGGUGAUCGGCCACACUGGAACUGAGACACGGUCCAGACUCCUACGGGAGGCAGCAGUAGGGAAUCUUCCGCAAUGGGCGAAAGCCUGACGGAGCAACGCCGCGUGAGUGAUGAAGGUCUUCGGAUCGUAAAACUCUGUUAUUAGGGAAGAACAAAUGUGUAAGUAACUGUGCACAUCUUGACGGUACCUAAUCAGAAAGCCACGGCUAACUACGUG
This 497-nucleotide ribosomal RNA is filed under the name uncultured bacterium. Its description in RNAcentral is "partial 16S ribosomal RNA". It matches the Rfam family "Bacterial small subunit ribosomal RNA", at positions 28 to 507 of the family's 1533-position model. The record is from RNAcentral.